CAGCAGCCGCGGUAAUACCGGCGGCCCGAGUGGCGGUCACUAUUAUUGGGCUUAAAGCGUCCGUAGCCGGGUUGGGAAGUCCUCCGGGGAAUCUGGCCGCUUAACGGUCAGAAUGCCGGAGGAUACUCCCAGCCUAGGGAGCGGGAGAGGCCGAGGGUAUUCCCGGAGUAGGGGUGAAAUCCUAUAAUCCCGGGAGGACCACCUGUGGCGAAGGCGCUCGGCGGGAACGCGUCCGACGGUGAGGGACGAAGGCCAGGGGAGCAAACCGGAUUAGAUACCCGGGUAGUCCUGGCUGUAAACGAUGCGGACUUUGUGUCGGACAAGCUAUGAGCUUGUCCGGUGCCGGAGGGAAACCGUUAAGUCCGCCGCCUGGGGAGUACGGCCGCAAGGCUGAAACUUAAAGGAAUUGGCGGG
RNAcentral lists this ribosomal RNA (414 nucleotides) under uncultured microorganism. Its description in RNAcentral is "bacterial SSU rRNA". It matches the Rfam family "Archaeal small subunit ribosomal RNA", at positions 459 to 872 of the family's 1478-position model. The record is from RNAcentral.